Dioscorea cayenensis subsp. rotundata (Guinea yam) is the source of this 191-nucleotide long non-coding RNA. RefSeq lists it as uncharacterized. NCBI's taxonomy places the organism in Eukaryota, Viridiplantae, Streptophyta, Magnoliopsida, Dioscoreales, Dioscoreaceae. The record is from RefSeq and is a predicted model, not a curated record. The transcript has 3 exons.
GAAGAACUUUACCGGAGCACUGUAGCGGCGACGAUCAAACCGGGGAGGAGCUCUUCAACUCAUCAACAACCUAGAGGUAUUUGUUGAAGGACCACCGUGAGGCAUUUAUUUGGAUCUCAAUUGGGAUUAGACUAUUGUCAAAUCAGGAGCAGUAGACCCAGGGAUCUUAGAAGGCUUUCAGUAGAUGUCUU